Molecule: long non-coding RNA, 1193 nt
Organism: Lolium rigidum
Lineage: Eukaryota; Viridiplantae; Streptophyta; Magnoliopsida; Poales; Poaceae
Exons: 6
Source: RefSeq, a predicted model, not a curated record
UUAACAAGCAUUGAUUGAGGACAACCAUUCGCUGCCGGCGGAGCGGAAGAAGGUAUGGAUGUUCUCGCUGACCUUGAGCACGAUGUUACUGCGAUGUCCAGUUCCUCCAGUAUGGAUACUCUCAGCUAUGCCAUGACCCUCUUCUCUGGAAUCUCAUGUACCUUCUGCUGAAGUCUUGCUCCUCCACGGCCCAUCGGACGCCGACGACGUCAACUUGCCUCCACCACCAGGUCUCCACUGCUUCUCAUCCUUUUUGCUUGAUUUCACUGAUCCCUCACAUUUGCAUAUUUUUUGCAUAAUUCUGAUGACUGCUUGCUGUUUACUUUAGCUACAAACAAUUUGGAAAAGCAUCAUUAUGCAGCACCAGUAGCACAGCUCAAAUUGUUCAGUUCUUCUCAACAGCAGCCAUCAAUGGUAUUCAGAAAAUGUACUACGUAACGCUGAGGUGGACAUAGUGAUGUUACCGAUGACCGGGCAUGUCCUCUUGCCCUGUACGAUAUCCAACUAUGCCACUGGUCCGGGGAGUGGUGGGUAUGGUUGUAUGGCUUAAUGUUUUUCUCUCAGGAUAAACCGGUCUACUUUUCAAUCAAGGAUAGCAGGGUUGCAUAGGUAAUAGUUGCUGCUUCAAUUGGUUCUGCUUUUGGUACUCCCUUGCACCGAGAGCGGCACUCGGUUCUCCAUGCGUAGCAGACUGAUAAUUUUUCUCCCGAUCGUGAUGCAGCCUUCAUCUUCAAGCCAUGAAUUUUGUUUUUGUUUAGCUAAUUAUCCCUAGGAGAUGUAGGUACAGGGCUAUCCUUUGUCAGUACAGACCAAAACUUUACCUGCAGCAACAAAUCAAGUUUGGCCCAUAAAGAAGAGCAGGUCUAUGGUCAAUAGACCGUUUGUUGCUUAAUUAAGGAGCUAGCUCCAUAUGUUUGCAGAUAACAGCUGCCAAGAUUCAAUGCUUAAGGAACUAACAUCAAAUGUCUACAGAAAGCAGCUACAACUAUCUGAUGUCUAAGUUAGCGUUGACAGUUGAUGCAUCUGUGAAUUUGCCUUGGUUAGUUCAUAGUAUGCUACUGCUACACUAUGUAUCCUUUUUAUUAUCAGCUGUGCAGCUUUGUGUUUCUUCUACUUUUGUGGUUACUAUAUGCAGUACCAAGAUAUGACUAUCUACUCUAUGCAAGGAGUCGAUAUACCUUCUGUAUGAUCAA